CUUUCGUUUCUCUUGUGUAUGGUCUAAGGAACAGAGUGCAGAUCGACCAACCUUCUGGAUUCCAACAAUGUCUGAUUGAAAGCGGUUAACAAUGAGUCUAUGACCUAUGCGGAGAAACAAAAUAGUUAAAUAGACUAUGAAAAACUUUGCUUUCAAUUAAUGAGAAGGAACAGUUGAAGAUGAAUAAUGGUAAAUGCCUCAACUGGUCUAUACAAAAGAUGCACUCGGCAUGAAGAAUAGACUUCAAAUUAAGCGUAACUGAGCAAAGGCCUGACAUUCACUCUCAGCAUAACGUACGAGUUCUACUGGAUCUCUAUCUAUCCCCCUGAAGAGUUUGUCGUUCUUAGCCUUCUAGAUAUACCAGAUUAUCCAAGGAUAAGAAUCUCUAUCCUGUUCAGAUUUUUGCAGAUCAUCAUCGUUCGUCAGAUCUAUGUUUCCGAAAUUCAGGUAUAAGUUUGAUUCUCCUCUUUGAACUGGUGGUAUACUCGAUGGUGUUCAUGUGAAGUAUGUUGCUUUCUCACGUGAGAGCUUCCAGAAGUUAUCAAAGAGUCAGAUUUUAACUAUGAGAUGUCAAGCAUGUGAUUCCACAAAGACUUUAAUUCAAUCAGGGUGCUUAAUGUGUAUGCAUUUGGAGGGAGCGGAGUGAUUAAUAAUGUGAAUCAUUCCAACCAGCGGUUCAGGAACUUCAGCUUAUGUACGCCAAAGAAGAUUGUUUCUUUUGAAUGUAUAAUUAUGUACAAAUUGUAAGAUUGUAAACAGCUUACUGGAUCUUACUUAGUGUAAAAAUUUUGGUUCCAAAAAAAGUUGUAUCUUCUCCAUCGUCCAUCCCUUCGUUAAAUCUUUCUUUAUGUAACAUUUAGGUAAACCCAAAUUUUCAUCCAUCAGUA
This is a long non-coding RNA of Raphanus sativus (radish), 887 nucleotides long. RefSeq lists it as uncharacterized. The record is from RefSeq and is a predicted model, not a curated record. The transcript has 6 exons. NCBI's taxonomy places the organism in Eukaryota, Viridiplantae, Streptophyta, Magnoliopsida, Brassicales, Brassicaceae.